This 785-nucleotide ribosomal RNA is filed under the name uncultured Verrucomicrobiota bacterium. RNAcentral's name for it is "bacterial SSU rRNA". It matches the Rfam family "Bacterial small subunit ribosomal RNA", at positions 70 to 848 of the family's 1533-position model. The record is from RNAcentral. Lineage: Bacteria; Pseudomonadati; Verrucomicrobiota.
UUUCAGGUAGCAAUAUUUGAAAGUCGGAGUGGCGCAAGGGUGCGUAACACGUGGAUCAUCUGCCGUGAAGCCUGGGAUAACUCGCUGAAAGGCGAGCUAAUACCGGAUGUGAACGAGAGUUCAAAGCUGGGGACCGCAAGGCCUGGCACUUUACGAUGAGUCCGCGGCCUAUCAGCUAGUUGGUGAGGUAACGGCUCACCAAGGCUAAGACGGGUAGCUGGUCUGAGAGGACGACCAGCCACACUGGAACUGAGACACGGUCCAGACACCUACGGGUGGCAGCAGUCGAGAAUUUUUCUCAAUGGGCGAAAGCCUGAAGGGGCGACGCCGCGUGGGGGAUGAAUGGCUUCGGCCCGUAAACCCCUGUCAUUUGCGAACAAAUUGAUUACCUAACACGUGUAUCAUUGAUUGUAGCGGAAGAGGAAGGGACGGCUAACUCUGUGCCAGCAGCCGCGGUAAUACAGAGGUCCCAAGCGUUGUUCGGAUUCACUGGGCGUAAAGGGUGCGUAGGCGGUCGGGUAAGUCUGAUGUGAAAUCUCACAGCUUAACUGUGAAACUGCAUUGGAUACUAUCCGGCUCGAGGAAUGGAGGGGAGACUGGAAUACUUGGUGUAGCAGUGAAAUGCGUAGAUAUCAAGUGGAACACCAGUGGCGAAGGCGAGUCUCUGGACAUUUCCUGACGCUNAGGCACGAAAGCCAGGGGAGCAAACGGGAUUAGAUACCCCGGUAGUCCUGGCCCUAAACGGUGCGCAUUUGCUGUGAGUGGAAUCGACCCCGCUCGUGGCG